UCUGUUCCUAAAGUUGUUGCAGGUGUGGCUGCUGUGUCACACAUCUGUCAGGAGGUGGCAGAGAGGGAGAAGCUAUGCCUUCUCUCAGUGUUCUGACCUGUGACCAUCUGAAUAGUUGGUAGCCUGACACU
Molecule: small nucleolar RNA, 131 nt
Organism: Acomys russatus (golden spiny mouse)
Lineage: Eukaryota; Metazoa; Chordata; Mammalia; Rodentia; Muridae
Product: small nucleolar RNA SNORA17
Exons: 1
Source: RefSeq, a predicted model, not a curated record